Molecule: unclassified non-coding RNA, 187 nt
Filed under: Glomus sp.
Lineage: Eukaryota; Fungi; Glomeromycota; Glomeromycetes; Glomerales; Glomeraceae
Description: partial contains 5.8S ribosomal RNA and internal transcribed spacer 2
Rfam family: 5.8S ribosomal RNA (bases 1-65)
Source: RNAcentral
GUGAAUCAUCAAAUCUUUGAACGCAAAUUGCACUCUCCUCGGAGAGUAUGCCUGUUUGAGGGUCAGCCUAUAAAUAAUCGACAUCGCCGCUGUUUCGCGGUGGUGGUCGUCGGAAAUUGGGCCAUCUUAAAUCUUUUUGAUUUAAGUGAUUUAAAAUUAUUCUUUGGUUCCUUGAACGUUCCUAAGA